GACGAACGCUGGCGGCGUGCUUAACACAUGCAAGUCGAACGGAAAGGCCCUGCUUUUGUGGGGUUCUCGAUUGGCGAACGGGUGAGUAACACGUGAGUAACCUGCCCUUGACUUUGUGAUAACUUCAGGAAACUGGGGCUAAUACCGGAUAGGAGCUCCUGCUGCAUGGUGGGGGUUGGAAAGUUUCGGCGGUUGGGGAUGGACUCGCGGCUUAUCAGCUUGUUGGUGGGGUAGUGGCUUACCAAGGCUUUGACGGGUAGCCGGCCUGAGAGGGUGACCGGCCACAUUGGGACUGAGAUACGGCCGAGACUCCUAAGGGAGGCAGCAGUGGGGAAUACUGCACGAUGGGCGGAAGCCUGAUGCAGCAACGCCGCGUGCGGGAUGACGGCCUUAGGGUUGUAAACCGCUUUCGCCUGUGACGAAGCGUGAGUGACGGUAAUGGGUAAAGAAGCACCGGCUAACUACGUG
This 468-nucleotide ribosomal RNA is filed under the name uncultured bacterium. Its description in RNAcentral is "partial 16S ribosomal RNA". It matches the Rfam family "Bacterial small subunit ribosomal RNA", at positions 28 to 507 of the family's 1533-position model. The record is from RNAcentral.